AUUGAACGCUGGCGGCAUGCUUUACACAUGCAAGUCGAACGGUAACAGGUUAAGCUGACGAGUGGCGAACGGGUGAGUAAUGCAUCGGAACGUGCCCGGUCGUGGGGGAUAACGCAGCGAAAGCUGCGCUAAUACCGCAUACGAUCUGAGGAUGAAAGCGGGGGGACCGUAAGGCCUCGCGCGAUCGGAGCGGCCGAUGUCAGAUUAGGUAGUUGGUGGGGUAAAGGCUCACCAAGCCGACGAUCUGUAGCUGGUCUGAGAGGACGACCAGCCACACUGGGACUGAGACACGGCCCAGACUCCUACGGGAGGCAGCAGUGGGGAAUUUUGGACAAUGGGCGCAAGCCUGAUCCAGCAAUGCCGCGUGCAGGAAGAAGGCCUUCGGGUUGUAACUGCUUUGUACGGAGCGAAAAGGACUCUCUCUAAUACAGGGGCUCAUGACGGUACCGUAAGAAUAAGCACCGGCUAACUACGUGCCAGCAGCCGCGU
RNAcentral lists this ribosomal RNA (489 nucleotides) under uncultured bacterium. Its description in RNAcentral is "bacterial SSU rRNA". It matches the Rfam family "Bacterial small subunit ribosomal RNA", at positions 29 to 520 of the family's 1533-position model. The record is from RNAcentral.